GAGAGAAAAUUUGGUUGGCUGAAGUGUG
RNAcentral lists this non-coding RNA (28 nucleotides) under Macaca fascicularis (crab-eating macaque). RNAcentral also lists the same sequence under 1 other name. The record is from RNAcentral. Lineage: Eukaryota; Metazoa; Chordata; Mammalia; Primates; Cercopithecidae.